Molecule: ribosomal RNA, 944 nt
Filed under: uncultured Bacillota bacterium
Lineage: Bacteria; Bacillati; Bacillota
Description: bacterial SSU rRNA
Rfam family: Bacterial small subunit ribosomal RNA
Source: RNAcentral
GGAUCCAGACUUUGAUCAUGGCUCAGGACGAACGCUGGCGGCGUGCUUAACACAUGCAAGUCGAACGAGAAGAGAUGAGAAGCUUGCUUCUUAUUGAUUCGAGUGGCAAACGGGUGAGUAACGCGUAAGCAACCUGCCCUCUAGAUGGGGACAACAGCUGGAAACGGCUGCUAAUACCGAAUACGUUCUUUCUGUCGCAUGGCAGAGGGAAGAAAGGGAGGCUCUUCGGAGCUUUCGCUGGAGGAGGGGCUUGCGUCUGAUUAGCUAGUUGGAGGGGUAACGGCCCACCAAGGCGACGAUCAGUAGCCGGUCUGAGAGGAUGAACGGCCACAUUGGGACUGAGACACGGCCCAGACUCCUACGGGAGGCAGCAGUGGGGAAUCUUCCGCAAUGGACGAAAGUCUGACGGAGCAACGCCGCGUGAACGAUGACGGCCUUCGGGUUGUAAAGUUCUGUUAUACGGGACGAAUGGUACGACGGCCAAUACCCGUCGUAAGUGACGGUACCGUAAGAGAAAGCCACGGCUAACUACGUGCCAGCAGCCGCGGUAAUACGUAGGUGGCAAGCGUUGUCCGGAAUUAUUGGGCGUAAAGGGCGCGCAGGCGGCGUCGUAAGUCGGUCUUAAAAGUGCGGGGCUUAACCCCGUGAGGGGACCGAAACUGCGAUGCUAGAGUAUCGGAGAGGAAAGCGGAAUUCCUAGUGUAGCGGUGAAAUGCGUAGAUAUUAGGAGGAACACCAGUGGCGAAAGCGGCUUUCUGGACGACAACUGACGCUGAGGCGCGAAAGCCAGGGGAGCAAACGGGGUUAGAUACCCCGGUAGUCCUGGCCGUAAACGAUGGAUACUAGGUGUAGGAGGUAUCGACCCCUUCUGUGCCGGAGUUAACGCAAUAAGUAUCCCGCCUGGGGAGUACGGCCGCAAGGCUGCAACUCAAAGGAAUUGACGG